AACAUUUCCAAGUGCCAGGCUCCUUUCACUAUAGUUGAAAAGCUGGUCAUGCCCUCAGUCGUGGAUGCUUGCCGAGAGGUUUCAGGCCCAACCGCUGCUACAAAGCUGUUGUCACCUGAGCAUUGAUGGCGAUUCACAACCCUGGAGAGCAUUGAAGAAGUGGUUGAAUUCAUAAAUGGAUAGCUUGGACCUGCUGGAUGGAGGAAACAGUCAGCCAUAGAUGUUGACAGCCCUCCUAACCCUUCACCAGUGUCCAUGUAACAUUCUACCUGCUACACAAGAAACCACCCACAUCAACUGUAUUUCUCAAUAUUUCAAUUCACAAGAUAGAAUGAACUUGCGUGUGAGCCAUUGAGACUGGAC
This 363-nucleotide long non-coding RNA is filed under the name Salmo salar (Atlantic salmon). Its description in RNAcentral is "lncRNA (ENSSSAG00000087994.1, ENSSSAG00020044547.1, ENSSSAG00075049425.1)". Lineage: Eukaryota; Metazoa; Chordata; Actinopteri; Salmoniformes; Salmonidae. The record is from RNAcentral.